This 489-nucleotide ribosomal RNA is filed under the name uncultured bacterium. Its description in RNAcentral is "partial 16S ribosomal RNA". It matches the Rfam family "Bacterial small subunit ribosomal RNA", at positions 31 to 507 of the family's 1533-position model. The record is from RNAcentral.
GAACGCUGGCGGUAGGCCUAACACCUGCAAGUCGAACGGCCGCACAGUAAGAGCUUGCUCUUACGGGUGGCGCGUGGCGGACGGGUGAGGAAUACAUCGGAAUCUACUUUUUCGUGGGGGAUAACGUAGGGAAACUUACGCUAAUACCGCAUACGACCUACGGGUGAAAGCAGGGGAUCUUCGGACCUUGCGCGAUUGAAUGAGCCGAUGUCGGAUUAGCUAGUUGGCGGGGUAAAGGCCCACCAAGGCGACGAUCCGUAGCUGGUCUGAGAGGAUGAUCAGCCACACUGGAACUGAGACACGGUCCAGACUCCUACGGGAGGCAGCAGUGGGGAAUAUUGGACAAUGGGCGCAAGCCUGAUCCAGCCAUACCGCGUGGGUGAAGAAGGCCUUCGGGUUGUAAAGCCCUUUUGUUGGGAAAGAAAAGCAGCAGGUUAAUACCCCGCUGUUCUGACGGUACCCAAAGAAUAAGCACCGGCUAACUUCGUG